UCGAAAAUGUUAAAGUUCUUAUUUCAUGGUAUAACUUUGGUAUGCUUGGACCUAGAGUCUUCAAACUUGACAUGAAGGUUGGCCAGGAUUAACAGAUGACCACUGGUCAUUUCAAGGUCAUUCAUUUGAAGGUCAAGGUCACUGUGACCUUCAAUAUAAAAAUGUUAAAGUUGUUAUAACUUUGGUAUGCUUGGACCUAGAGUCUUGAAACUUGACAUGAAGGUUGGCCAGAACUAGUAAGUAACCACUGGACAUUUCAAUGUCAUUCAUUUGAAGGUCAAGGUCACUGUGACCUUGAAUGUAAAAAUGUUAAAGUUGUUAUAACUUUGGUAUGCUUGGACCUAGAGUCUUGAAACUUGACAUGAAGGUUGGCCAGAACUAGUAAGUAACCACUGGACAUUUCAAGGUCAUUCAUUUGAAGGUCAAGGUCACUGUGACCUUGAAUGUAAAAAUGUUAAAGUUCUUAUUUCAUGUUAUAACUUUGGUAUGCUUGUACCUAGAGUCUUCAAACUUGAAAUAAAGAUUGGCCAGUACUAGAAGAUGACCACUGGUCAUUUCAAUGUCAUUCAUUUGAAGGUCAAGGUCACUGUGACCUUAAAUGUUAAAAUGUUAAAAUUGUUAUAACUUUGGUAUGCUUGGACAUAGAGUCUUCAAACUUGACAUGAAGGUUUGCAAGCACACUUAGAUGACCACUGGUCAUUUCAAGGUCAUUCAUUCUAAGGUCAAGGUCACUGUGACCUUGAAUGUAAAAAUGUUAAAGUUCUUAUAACUUUGGUAGGUAAAAAUGUUAAAGUUCUUAUUCCAUGUUAUAACUUUGGUAUGCUUGUACCUAGAGUCUUCAAACUUGACAUAAAGGUUGGCCAGUACUAGAAGAUCACCACUGCUCAUUUCAAUGUCAUUCAUUUGAAGGUCAAGGUCACUGUGACCUUCAAUGUUAAAAUGUUAAAAUUGUUAUAACUUUGGUAUGCUUGGACCUAGAAUCUCAAACUUGACGUAAAGGUUUGCAAGCACACUUAGAUGACCACUGGUCAUUUCAAGGUCAUUCAUUUCAAUGUCAUUCAUUUGAAGGUCAAGGUCACUGUGAACUUAAAUGUUAAAAUGUUAAAAUUGUUGUAACUUUGGUAUGCUUGGACCUAGAAUCUCAAACUUGACGUAAAGGUUUGCAAGCACACUUAGAUGACCACUGGUCAUUUCAAGGUCAUUCAUUUGAAGGUCGAGGUCACUGUGACCUUGGAUGUAAAUAUGUUAAAGUUGUUAAUACUUUGGUAUGCUUAGACCUAGAGUCUUCAAACUUGAUAUGAAGGUUGGCCAGAACUAGUAGAUGACCACUGGUCAUUUUAAGGUCAAGGUCACCGUGACCUUGAAUGUAAAAAUGUUAAAAUUCUUAUUUCAUGGUAUAACUUUCUUAUGCUUGGACUUACAGUCUUCAAACUGGACAUGAAGGUUGGCCAGCACUAGUAGAUGACAAUUGGUCAUUUUAAGGUCAUUGAAGGUCAAGGUCACUGUGACCUUGAAUGUUAAAAAUUAAAAGUUGUUUUAACUUUCGUAUGCUUGGACAUGGACUUUGCCAUGACUAACAGAUGACCACUGGUCAAGAGAACAACUGGUCAUUUUAAAGUCUUUCAAUUGACAGUGACCUUAAAUGUGAAUAUUUUUUUCAUGAUUUAACUUUGGUAUGCUUACCACUGGUAAUUUCAAGGACAUUCAAUUGAGGUUCACAGUUGCGGCAACUUCAAAUGUGAAAGGGCUCUAAAAUAUUAUAAUUUUUGCUGUUUCACUUUGUUGGGGUAGCUUUCAGUCCACUACAAGACAAGGUUGAAGAGACCUGUCUGCUGUGUAUUGGGAAUCCCAGUGUUUUGAAGAAUGCUAUAUGCAUGCAUUCAAAACAUAACACAAGGAUUGCUCAUGCCUUGAAAAGUACUUACAUUUCAUUUUGACCUUUGAACAAUAUUUCAGUAAUUUAAGUAUUGCAUUGACAAAAACACGAAAGGUACUUUCCUGUCAUUUAAAUCAAAAAUCCGGCUUCAAUGCGGUCAUCUCCGACCGCGGAACUCUUGUUUUAAU
This is a long non-coding RNA of Dreissena polymorpha, 2064 nucleotides long. RefSeq lists it as uncharacterized. The record is from RefSeq and is a predicted model, not a curated record. The transcript has 2 exons. NCBI's taxonomy places the organism in Eukaryota, Metazoa, Mollusca, Bivalvia, Myida, Dreissenidae.